AAUGGAAGAAAGCUUAGUUCCCGAUUGACCUCGGGAAGCGGGGGAACCAUUUCCUUGGGGCGUAUCACUUUUGUGUGUAGGGAACCAUCUUUCCCGAGCCCGUCAGCUAACCUCGUCAGCUCUAGAUGGGUCGAACU
RNAcentral lists this small RNA (137 nucleotides) under Paenibacillus sp. RNAcentral's name for it is "c-di-AMP sequence". It matches the Rfam family "c-di-AMP riboswitch aptamer (ydaO/yuaA leader)". From Rfam's summary of the family: This family represents a conserved RNA structure found upstream of the ydaO and yuaA genes in Bacillus subtilis and related genes in other bacteria. The ydaO/yuaA element is thought to act as a genetic "off" switch for the ydaO and yuaA genes in its native state. The record is from RNAcentral. Lineage: Bacteria; Bacillati; Bacillota; Bacilli; Caryophanales; Paenibacillaceae. RNAcentral also lists the same sequence under 1 other name.